This 4144-nucleotide long non-coding RNA is filed under the name Pan troglodytes (chimpanzee). RNAcentral describes it as "long non-coding RNA NONPTRT006731". Lineage: Eukaryota; Metazoa; Chordata; Mammalia; Primates; Hominidae. The record is from RNAcentral.
AGCCGGACUACCUACUUGUCCCCACCCACUGCUUCCAACCUCCACAGUCUUCAUAAUUACUUCUCCCUGGAGCCCCGGCCCCGGGCCUGAGUGACACUGCGCCCGACCACACUCGCCAAGCCCGUUUCCCACCAGAGAAGUCCCCCGGGGGGCGCUCUGCUUCUCUCCCAACACCCGGACCCUUAACUUAAUGGGGCUUCUGAGACAGCGCAAGCACCUCAGCUCACCUCUGGGAGCUCCGCCCCCUCCCUGGGCAGCAGACAGCGGGAGGGGUUUAUGAGGGUAGUUGUAAAAAUAUUCAUCUCAGCAGCAAAGUUCCUCAUGGUAAAUAAGGCCCAUUGUCCUUAAGUAGCAGAUUAUUUCAGUUCAGAAGAGAGACAAAUCCUGCCUUGAAAUGUCUGCUAUUCUAGGAAACACAUUCAUACUGACUUGAGGUUUAGUGGUGGACAUGGGUGGCUCCAGCAUUCUCCUUCUUAGGGACUUUAUCUGAGUGCCAUUUUAUCUCUUGAAUUUGAAGGUCAUUUUAUCUUGUGGGUACCACCCCAUCGGCUGCCACUAGAUUGGGGAAGACAAUCAGGAUAUUAAUGAGAUUAAGAGGCCUAGCCUUCAGGGUGUUCUGCUGUCAGCCUCCCCCUGAUAGGGGACCAGCCCUGGUCUGCAUACAAAGAAACCAGGCUGCUGUGCUCGUGGGGCUCCAAGCCUCUGCACAAAGGGGCCAGGAGAUACUGGAGUCCUAUCACCAAAGGGUCAUGCCUAAUCCGCCUGAAGGAUCCUUAGACGAUUCAAGGACUCCUUGCCGCCUCCAGUGAGCUCUGAGGAGGAAGGAAGCUGCCUGCAAGCACACAGCCCUGGCCUGCAGCUUAUGGGAGAAGUGCUCUUGGAAACUGUUGAAGGUUUGAUGAGAAGCGACAGGAACUUGGAGAGAAUUAGGUAUCACAGGUGCAGAGAGAGGCAGAGAUCUGUGCAAGGGCCUUUGAAGCUACCUGCUUAAUGGAAUGGAACAAGAUCUGGCUUUAUGCCUCUACCUAUUUUUUAGGGGGAAGUAUAAACACAAAUGAAGAGGAGAGAGAGAAAUAUACAUACAUAUAUAUGUAUUAUAUACACACACACACACACACGCAUACAUAUAGAAGUUAUAUAUAUAAAAGGAAUGCAGCCCACAAAUAAAGUCAGAUCAAUUAGUCAGUCAUGGUUAUUAUCCUAGCUAUUCACAAAUUCUCUGGAACAGGGAUUGACAAACUUUUUCUGUAAAGAGCCAGAUAGUAAAUAUUAAGUACUUUAAACUAUUCAGUUGUAAUUACUCAACUGUGCCUUUGUAGCACCAAAGCAGCCAUAGACCAUAGACAUGGAAGUGAAUGAACAUCACUGUCUUCCAGUCAAACUUUAUUUUAUGGGGACUGAAAUUUAAAUUUCAUAUAAUUUUCACAUAUCACCCUAUAGUCUUUAAUUGAUUUUUUCUCAAAACCCAUUCUUAGCUUGUGGGUCAUACAAAAACAGGCUGCUUUGGCCAACAGACCAGUUUGCUGACCCUGCUGUAGGACAAUAGUUCUCAAAUGUGGCCACACUUUAGAAUCACCCGAGGGAGUAUCUAAAAAUCCCAGUAUCCAAGCUGCACCCUGGACCUGUCAGAACGGCUGGGGAGUGGGACUACACAUCAGUAGUUAAAACUUUCUAAGUGAUACCAAUGUGUAGCUAAAUUUGAGAACCAGUUCUAAGGUUCUCAAAUUUAGCUUCUCAAAUGUUAAAGUGCAUGCCAAUUCCCUGGGGUGGGGGGUGUUAGGAUACAGAUUCUCAUUCUGUAGGCCUGGGGUGAGGCCUGGGUUUCUGCAUUUUCAACAAGUUCCCAGGUGCUGUUGAAGAGGAUGGUCUGGGACACACUUUUGAGUACUGGAGUUGGAUUAGCAACUAACUCCCCUUUGCCUCCCAACCUGUGUAAUUUGCCUCACCUAUCUCCAACUAGAUAUUCAUCUUGGUGUUUGCAGCAAACUUAGGCUGGCUUGUUGCAGCACAUUGGGUAUGAGGCAAUCUCCUGCUCUUCCUAGGACUUCUCUGUGACAUCCACAAGAAGGAGAAGGUGCACACAGCCCCACGGUGAGCAAAGGGAAACCUCAGAGCUCCUAAGGGCUGAAUUUCUGGAAACCACUUCCCUCAACCUGUGAGCAUGCGUCUGCUUCAGGUACCUUCCUGUUACCCUAUGCUCCAACUUCAGCAACCUCCGCAAUAGCACACUUGUGUGAGUUCAGCCACUGAGGAAUCAACUGGCAAGGGGGGAACUCGAUGUUUCCAAUGCUUUUGGGAAGUCAAGAGUCAGUUUUCUCAGGACUUGUACUCUGCAUGUUCUUCCUAAGUUGGAGAAACACCUUGCAGAUGGUCUUUAGCAUGUAGACUUUCCCAAGGGAAGCCUACCUGAGCCAAGGUGAGCUGGUUAUGGCCAGUCCCUUCUCAGGACCGGAUUCAGAUGUGUGUGUCUGGGUAACCAAGUAUAGCACCCAAAUCAGGCUUGGCUUGGGUUGUGGUUCUGUCACUAUCCGGCAGUGUGACCUUAAGUUAUUAGCUUCUCUGUCCCAAUACCUAUCCCCUUAGGGGUGCGAUGAGGCUUCAAUAUGAUCAGACACACCCAGUGCCAAGCACAGUGCCUGGCAAGGAAGGUUAGCUGCCAUUACAGUAUUAUUGAAUUGACUCAGAAACUUCAGGGUGUUGGGAGAACGGAAGAGCUUGGGUUCUCCCUGGGUUCUUGACAAGGGUCUUACCUUGUAGUUUCAAUCGGGAAGGAUUUCCCUUUCCAUGAACCCUGCUUGUCAUUUGAAACAUCAGAAACAAUGAACUAAGUAUUGGCAAGAUCUGUGGUUCUCAAAUCUCUCUCCAGACCACAUAAAAAUCAUCCAGGGAGCUCAUUAAAAAUAGACAUGGCUCCCUCCACCCACGCACACCUUUGGAGUCAGAAUUGAGAGAUGAGGGGUUCACAGGCAUAAGAACUUUCGACAAAAGCCCUAAGAGAUUCACCUAGAGUGCCAGCUACUUGUGAGGCUAAGGUAGCAGGGUCACUUGAACCCAGGAGUUUGAGGCUGAAGUGAGCUAUGGCAGUUGGGUUGUAGACAACAAGGAACACAGGCUGCUUAUUUUUGUCUCCUUCUAUAAAACACCUUGAGAUAAAUUAAGCACUUUGUGCCCAUUGGCGCCACUGCAGUACAGGCCGGGUGACAGAGUGAGACCCUGUCUCUAAAAAAAAAAAAGAGAGAGAGAGAUUUGGAUGCAUAGUCAGGGUUGACAUUACUAGGCCAGAUGGAGCAGGAGAGUUCUGAAGGGGUUGAAGGUAAUCCUCAUGGCCCCUUGCUGAAAUGGGAAAAGAGAAGCAGCCGGGGUGAGGGGCCUUGGACUAGGAUUCAGGAGAUCAGAGCCACCAAUGAGCAAGGGUGACCUUGGGUGAAUCAUUUAACUUCCUGGGAAUUCUGGCAAAUGAGGGUGUGGGAUGAGGGCCUUUCCACUCUGACAGGCUAUUAUUUGAAGACUGUGUGUGGCAUCCAGUCUUGGGGCCCAGGACUCCGCAGCUUGAAGUGCAGAGGGAGGCUUGCCAUUGUGGUAUUUUAUUGUGAAACUCAUCAUCGUCUCUCUCUCCUUCUCUCCCUCACUCCCUCGCUCCUUCCCCAUUUCAGGAACUGUGUGCUGUUAGAAGCCUUCCACCUUUAUUAGGGAUCAUUAGAGCUUUACAACACCAGCAGAUUAGGUGGGGCCAGUCACAAUAAACAGAUUUAUAAUGGGUAUAAACGAGACACCUAUAACUGCUAGAGGUUAACACUUUGAGGCAUAUCAACCCAGUGGCCCCCAAACUCGGUUCUUCAAAUGUGAAACUGCCCAAGCAUCUCUGACAUUAUUUUAUUCAUUCAUUAUUCUGGCUUCUGAAGAAGGAAUAUCUGUGUGCCCCUUUCACAGACAAAAAUGCCAAGGCUCAAAACUUAACUGACCCAGAAUCAUCAGAGAGUUAUGGCAGAGAGAGAGAGAGAGAGAGAGAGAUUGUUAAAGUUUCUAGAGUCUGGUGCCCAGUUGAUCUCUGGAAUCAUGGAAUUGGGGUCUCAGCUGUUCUUUGAAGCUCUUAGAGCUGAAUUAAAUCGCCAGGGGCUCUAUGAGCUGUAGCUCUAAGGCCCUG